AAGUCGUAACAAGGUAUCCGUAGGUGAACCUGCGGAUGGAUCAUUAUCACGUUAUCCACGUAUCAACCAUUGUGAACUGUUGAAUGUAUAUAUAUUGUUUGUUUGUUGGGGGGUUUCCCCUAACUUUCAUGAAUAUAUAUAUAUUUUUAUUAUUAACUAUUUAAACAAUUUUUAAAUAAUUAAAUCUUUGAACUGAAACAUUUCUUACUCUUCGGAGAAGAAAUAAAAAAUUACGAAACAUAAGAACAACUCUUAGCAACGGAUAUCUUGGUUCUC
This 276-nucleotide unclassified non-coding RNA is filed under the name fungal sp. Its description in RNAcentral is "partial internal transcribed spacer region". The stretch from base 1 to 46 matches the Rfam family "Eukaryotic small subunit ribosomal RNA", at positions 1786 to 1831 of the family's 1831-position model. The record is from RNAcentral. Lineage: Eukaryota; Fungi.